Ornithodoros turicata is the source of this 2239-nucleotide long non-coding RNA. RefSeq lists it as uncharacterized. The transcript is spliced from 2 exons. The record is from RefSeq and is a predicted model, not a curated record. NCBI's taxonomy places the organism in Eukaryota, Metazoa, Arthropoda, Arachnida, Ixodida, Argasidae.
AAUAUCGGCGGCUUCUGUCCUGAGGCAACUCCCUUCCUAAAGUUUCCUUUCGUUCGAUAAUCGUCUACAAACAUUGCACGCCAGCGAUAUGUGCACGGCGCGUCUGACUCCUUUGUUGUUAGAAGGUGAAGCAACUUGAAAGUAACUCGUGACGUUUCUCAAGUAGCUUAGGAACUUGAAGUUCAUUUUCGUUACAUGCAACUUCGUUGGUAACUUGGUUACAUUUUUUGAACAGUAACUGGUAACCAGUUCCCUUUGUCGACUAACUUCCCCUUCUCUGCACGGCAAAAUGCACACACAGAAAUAGCUGUUUAAACAGCCAUGUGCUGUGAAUACAUGUAUCUUACCUCCAAGUUUCAGUACUUCUGCUUUGUGAACUCUUGCACAUGCUGGUGUGUGUGAAAUCAGUUGCUACAAAAACAUUCCACUUUUUGUGCAUGAAUGUGUUUUACAAUAAUGAAAUUUGUGGUGUGAAUAUUCAAUAGGCACUGCAAACACAUGUCCCUGAGUUGUGGGAUCACAAUGAGAACAACACACAUUUAACUCUUUUUGUUCUCAUUAUGAUCCCCAAACUCAUUAAUAAUUGAAUGUUUACGUCGUGAAACGACUGAGAUCAUGAGCGACGCCACAGCGGUCGGUCCGUGGAUUGCUUUUGCCCACCUGAGGGUUAUUUAACGCGCGAUGAAAGCUUACUACACGGCACCCCGUAUUUAACGUCCCUCGCGGAAGGCGGCGUGUCUAAGCAAUUUGUACCCUGCCACCAAGUUGCUGGCAUCCUCGGCCGGGUUCGAACUCGCGAUUUCGGGAUCAGAAGGCGAACACUCUACUGACUGAGCCACCUAGGCCGGUUAUCCCAAGCUCAGGGAACUAUGUUUGCAGUACAUAGAGCAGGUAGCUUGCCUACUUCUACUUUCUUCUGUAAUAGGUAAUAUUAGUUAACCUACUCAACAAAUCUUGGAACAUAUAUAAAUGCACUUUCUCCUUUCGCUUACCUGCCCAGAAUAGAACCUACCAGUGGUACGUUCCCAGAACCUAUCCGGAUCACAACUGUCUCUCUUAACAACACUUCUCACGUUCGAGCGCUCCCAUUGUGUAGACACACUUUCACUUUUCCUAGCAUACCUGAAAUGUUGUUUUUAUUGUUGUGUCAUCUCCAUGUGCCAGACUCUCCCAUAUACAGACACAGACAGCACUUGCCCAUUUUAGCACUAUGCAUUGGAACCUCCCCACACCUGACACUGGCAUUUGACAUGGUUCAAGACAUUCUACAUUUCUUUCCUUUCCUUUUUCUGUUCGCGAACGCUGAAUGAAGCAAAAAGACACACUGGGGUUCCUGAUUUCCUCAUCGGAGCAACACCGUACAAUAGAAGUCGACAAGAAUGCAGACACAUAAUGACGUGAGGAUGCAUUACCUGGUGACCUGUUUCCUGGUUGGUCACCUGCCAUUCACUACUAGAGUAUCGCCCAGAGGAAGAAAUAUGCGACCCAAGUGUUUCAUGCUUUUCUUGGGAUCUGCACGCUGCUGCAGAACUUUGUUUCCAUGGUGCACUCGUUGUAUGGUGAACGUCAUGUCACGUUCAACGUGCAUCAGGUGCUGCAUCUCUGCAAAUCGACAGAGUAUUUGGGGCCGUUAUGGGCACACUCAGCCUUUGUGUUUGAGGGCGGAAAUGUCCACCUUUCGUAAACGGUUACUGCAGCAAAGGGCGUGCCUGUUCAAGUCGUAGAAAAGGUGAUGCUCCUUCAACAACUCCGUCUGCUGCUAGGUUCCCUGCCACACAGAGCAUAAGUCAAGAAGAUCUGCAGCGAGAUGCUUCAGGUGCGGCAUGUGCAGAACUUCAGUAGCGUUGAAGGUGCAUUGCUGCUUCGAGUUGCACAUCAUGUGAACCAGUUUACACCAGAGGAGACAGAAGUUUUUUUAGAGAGUACAACACUGUCCCAACUACAGCCAAAGAGUACCAGCGGUUCCUUUGGGGAGGUCAAGUUUACCACAGCCAGAGAUAUACAAAGAGCAAAAAGAGCAACGCGACAGUGAUUGUAACAGAAACAAAUAACAAUCUGUGCAUUCUGCGAAUAUUUCAGGUGAACUGUGAUGGUGGGGACUAGUGUGUUCUGGUAUGCAGACGAUUUGUUCUAGUGGAUGGGGAAAAUCAGUUCCCACAUCAUAUAAAGGGUGUUUCUUGCCACCAUCCGGGCCACUGAUGCUUGCGGAAGUAGGCGAUAUUAAACGCGUGUGCUUGUA